This 492-nucleotide ribosomal RNA is filed under the name uncultured bacterium. Its description in RNAcentral is "partial 16S ribosomal RNA". It matches the Rfam family "Bacterial small subunit ribosomal RNA", at positions 29 to 507 of the family's 1533-position model. The record is from RNAcentral.
AGUGAACGCUGGCGGUAGGCCUAACACAUGCAAGUCGAACGGCAGCACAGUAAGAGCUUGCUCUUACGGGUGGCGAGUGGCGUACGGGUGAGGAAUACAUCGGACUCUACUUUUUCGUGGGGGAUAACGUAGGGAAACUUACGCUAAUACCGCAUACGACCUACGGGUGAAAGCAGGGGAUCUUCGGACCUUGCGCGAAUGAAUGAGCCGAUGUCGGGUUAGCUAGUUGGGGGGGUAAAGGCCCACCAAGUCGACGAUCCGUAGCUGGUGUGAGAGGAUGGUCAGCGACACUGGAGCUGAGACACGGUCCAGACUCCUACGGGAGGCAGCAGUGGGGAAUAGUGGACAAAAGGCGCAAGCCUGAUCCAACCAUACCGCGUCGGUGACGGAGGCCUUCGGGUUGUAAAGCCCUUUUGUGGGUAAAGAAAAGCAGCAGGUUAAUACCCCGCUGUUCUGACGGUACCCAAUGAAGAAGCACCGGCUAACUUCGUG